RNAcentral lists this ribosomal RNA (481 nucleotides) under Veillonella atypica. Its description in RNAcentral is "bacterial SSU rRNA". It matches the Rfam family "Bacterial small subunit ribosomal RNA", at positions 28 to 479 of the family's 1533-position model. The record is from RNAcentral. Lineage: Bacteria; Bacillati; Bacillota; Negativicutes; Veillonellales; Veillonellaceae.
GACGAACGCUGGCGGCGUGCUUAACACAUGCAAGUCGAACGAAGAGCGAUGGAAGCUUGCUUCUAUCAAUCUUAGUGGCGAACGGGUGAGUAACGCGUAAUCAACCUGCCCUUCAGAGGGGGACAACAGUUGGAAACGACUGCUAAUACCGCAUACGAUCCAAUCUCGGCAUCGAGACUGGAUGAAAGGUGGCCUCUAUUUAUAAGCUAUCACUGAAGGAGGGGAUUGCGUCUGAUUAGCUAGUUGGAGGGGUAACGGCCCACCAAGGCGAUGAUCAGUAGCCGGUCUGAGAGGAUGAACGGCCACAUUGGGACUGAGACACGGCCCAGACUCCUACGGGAGGCAGCAGUGGGGAAUCUUCCGCAAUGGACGAAAGUCUGACGGAGCAACGCCGCGUGAGUGAUGACGGCCUUCGGGUUGUAAAGCUCUGUUAAUCGGGACGAAUGGUUCUUGUGCAAAUAGUGCAAGGAUUGACGGUACC